Molecule: non-coding RNA, 1725 nt
Organism: Anas platyrhynchos (mallard)
Lineage: Eukaryota; Metazoa; Chordata; Aves; Anseriformes; Anatidae
Source: RefSeq, a predicted model, not a curated record
GCCCCGCGCCGGCACCGCGGCCAGAGGAAGGUGCUGCCGGGCGGGCCCGGCUCCGGCACACACACGCACACACACACACACGCACACACAGCCGCACUCGCUCGCGCACCCCUCGCCAUCGCCCCCCCGGCCCCUUCGCCUGGCUCCGUGCCUCGCCGGAGCAGCCCGGGAGGGGAGGAAGAGGAGGAGGAGAGGCAGGCGGCACACUCACCCGAGCCGUCGCUCCCGCGCACGGGGCCGCAGAGCAGGAAGGCGCCUGCGAACAGACAGACAGACAGAUGGACGGACGGCGGAUCGGGUCGGGUCGGAGCACGGCUCUGCGCCUGCCCCGCCACCCGCGUCGGAGUUGGGGAUGCUGAUCUUUGGGAUGAGACCCAAGACAUACUUCCAAGCAUUUCAAAUCCUGUUUCGGCACCUGGCAUUUCCAGUCUGUGGACUCAUCUGUCUGUUCAAUCAAGAAGCCAGAGGUAUUGAUUCCCAUCUCGGAGACACACAUUUCUUAGAGAAAUACAUAGCUUUCGGAAAAAUACAGAAGACAAAAUGCUAGUAACAGUCUCCUUCAGAUGCACAUCAGUGAAAACUGGAAACCAGGCUUUCUCUCAACUUAGGAACUCCUCACCAGUGUGGCUGGUACCUGACAGGGAAGAAGGUGAUUGAGGAGAUGCCAGUCGUCUCUUCCUUAAUUGUUGUGGAAUAACUGAAGGCGGGAAGCCGCAGCGGAAAAGCUGGACCACGCAGCCGGAGGUGGGAGGGAGCAGCUGAAGCCAACGUGUUGUGGUCCUGUGCCGGUAGUCCCAACAACACGAUGGGCUCUGCUGUCAUCAACGCCUUCGCACGUAUGGUUCUGAUCCAAUUCCUUCCGAAAGCAGGAGGCUUCUUUAUGCUGAUGUUAAUCAGGGGCUCUAGGAAGGUGGCCUUUUCCUCACCUUGACUCACUAAAAACUGCAAAGGCUGGGUGGUUGGUGUUGGAUUUUUUUUCUCUGAGAAUGUUUUGCUCUAUAUUUCCUAAUUAAUAAUUCUACAAUUGUGUGAACCACUCUUUUUCAUACUCACUUAUUGGAUUGUUUGUGCUGAUUGAAUAUUCUCAUAUUAAAUGAGAAAUCUGAAAUAAGAAAAUGAGCAACUGAGGAUACUCUGCCAUAAACCCACACAAAAUGCACUUCUGAUUUGAAUGCAUGACUAAAGCAGAUGUCUUUUAAAAAUAAUACAAGUUUUUGGAUGUGUUUAAGAUAUUUGAAAUCUCAGCUGAGUGAGUUUUUAUGUCAGUGAUUUUUUUCCUGUUUCUGAAUAAAAAAAUGGACUAGAUAAAAAUAAGCUUUUUUUUUUUUUUGAAUAUUUAUUUGGUCACUCAUACUAAUUUGGUCUGUUUUUUGGCAUAGUUACUCUCUUGAGCUGGGACUGUUAUGUCUUGCAUGUCACAAGUGUCACAUGACAGAGUAUUUGCCUAGUAUUAAAAUUGGAAAUAGUUAUGGAUAUUCCAUUUGGUAGGGAAUGGAAAGCUUGCAAAUGUGUGGGAACAGGGAACUUGAAUUCACUCAGUUUGAGUGGGCCCUUAGCAAGCAAUGGGUGCCCUCCAGCCUGACUGGCUAGAGGGACUUAAAAACUGCUGUACAAGUCAAAAGCAUGGGUCUCAAAGAAAAAGAAGUAGAGGGAGAUGCAUCUCAUUUCAUUCUGUGUAUGAAAACAUAUCUAGUCUUUUAUUUUUUCCCUGCUAACUCAGUAAUU